RNAcentral lists this ribosomal RNA (397 nucleotides) under uncultured bacterium. RNAcentral's name for it is "partial 16S ribosomal RNA". It matches the Rfam family "Bacterial small subunit ribosomal RNA", at positions 523 to 918 of the family's 1533-position model. The record is from RNAcentral.
AUACGUAGGUGACAAGCGUUAUCCGGAUUUACUGGGCGUAAAGGGCGUGUAGGCGGUCUUGCAAGUCAGAAGUGAAAUUCCUGAGCUCAACUCGGGCGCUGCUUCUGAAACUGCAGGACUUGAGUGCUGGAGGGGAUAGCGGAAUUCCUAGUGGAGCGGUAAAAUGCGCAGAUAUUAGGAAGAACACCGGUGGCGAAGGCGGCUAUCUGGACAUUAACUGACGCUGAGGCGCGAAAGCGGUGGGAGCAAACAGGAUUAGAUACCCUGGUAGUCCCCGCCGUAAACGAUGAAUACUAGGUGUAGGGGGUAUCGACUCCCUCUGUGCCGCAGUUAACACAAUAAGUAUUCCGCCUGGGGAGUACGGCCGCAAGGUUGAAACUCAAAUGAAUUGACGGGU